GGCGGACGGGUGAGUAAUGCUUAGGAAUCUGCCUAUUAGUGGGGGACAACAUUCCGAAAGGGAUGCUAAUACCGCAUACGUCCUACGGGAGAAAGCAGGGGAUCUUUAUGACCUUGCGCUAAUAGAUGAGCCUAAGUCGGAUUAGCUAGUUGGUGGGGUAAAGGCCUACCAAGGCGACGAUCUGUAGCGGGUCUGAGAGGAUGAUCCGCCACACUGGGACUGAGACACGGCCCAGACUCCUACGGGAGGCAGCAGUGGGGAAUAUUGGACAAUGGGGGGAACCCUGAUCCAGCCAUGCCGCGUGUGUGAAGAAGGCCUUUUGGUUGUAAAGCACUUUAAGUGGGGAGGAGGCUUACCUGGUUAAUACCUGGGCUAAGUGGACGUUACCCACAGAAUAAGCACCGGCUAACUCUGUGCCAGCAGCCGCGGUAAUACAGAGGGUGCGAGCGUUAAUCGGAUUUACUGGGCGUAAAGCGCGCGUAGGUGGUUAAUUAAGUCAAAUGUGAAAUCCCCGAGCUUAACUUGGGAAUUGCAUUCGAUACUGGUUAGCUAGAGUAUGGGAGAGGAUGGUAGAAUUCCAGGUGUAGCGGUGAAAUGCGUAGAGAUCUGGAGGAAUACCGAUGGCGAAGGCAGCCAUCUGGCCUAAUACUGACACUGAGGUGCGAAAGCAUGGGGAGCAAACAGGAUUAGAUACCCUGGUAGUCCAUGCCGUAAACGAUGUCUACUAGCCGUUGGGGGAUUUGAUCCUUUAGUGGCGCAGCUAACGCGAUAAGUAGACCGCCUGGGGAGUACGGUCGCAAGACUAAAACUCAAAUGAAUUGACGGGGGCCCGCACAAGCGGUGGAGCAUGUGGUUUAAUUCGAUGCAACGCGAAGAACCUUACCUGGCCUUGACAUAGUAGAGACUUUCCAGAGAUGGAUUGGUGCCUUCGGGAAUCUACAUACAGGUGCUGCAUGGCUGUCGUCAGCUCGUGUCGUGAGAUGUUGGGUUAAGUCCCGCAACGAGCGCAACCCUUUUCCUUACUUGCCAGCAUUUCGGAUGGGAACUUUAAGGAUACUGCCAGUGACAAACUGGAGGAAGGCGGGGACGACGUCAAGUCAUCAUGGCCCUUACGGCCAGGGCUACACACGUGCUCAAUGGUCGGUACAAAGGGUUGCUACACAGCGAUGUGAUGCUAAUCUCAAAAAGCCGAUCGUAGUCCGGAUCGCAGUCUGCAACUCGACUGCGUGAAGUCGGAAUCGCUAGUAAUCG
Molecule: ribosomal RNA, 1251 nt
Filed under: Acinetobacter sp.
Lineage: Bacteria; Pseudomonadati; Pseudomonadota; Gammaproteobacteria; Moraxellales; Moraxellaceae
Description: bacterial SSU rRNA
Rfam family: Bacterial small subunit ribosomal RNA
Source: RNAcentral